CGGGAUGUAGCGCAGUCCGGCAGCGCACCUGGUUUGGGACCAGGGGGCCCCGAGUUCAAAUCUCGGCAUCCCGACCA
This 77-nucleotide transfer RNA is filed under the name Chloroflexota bacterium. RNAcentral describes it as "Chloroflexi bacterium (freshwater metagenome) tRNA-Pro". It matches the Rfam family "tRNA". From Rfam's summary of the family: Transfer RNA (tRNA) molecules are approximately 80 nucleotides in length. Their secondary structure includes four short double-helical elements and three loops (D, anti-codon, and T loops). Further hydrogen bonds mediate the characteristic L-shaped molecular structure. tRNAs have two regions of fundamental functional importance: the anti-codon, which is responsible for specific mRNA codon recognition, and the 3' end, to which the tRNAs corresponding amino acid is attached (by aminoacyl-tRNA synthetases). tRNAs cope with the degeneracy of the genetic code in two manners: having more than one tRNA (with a specific anti-codon) for a particular amino acid; and 'wobble' base-pairing, i.e. permitting non-standard base-pairing at the 3rd anti-codon position. The record is from RNAcentral. Lineage: Bacteria; Bacillati; Chloroflexota.